This 82-nucleotide small RNA is filed under the name Candidatus Viadribacter manganicus. RNAcentral's name for it is "Caulobacteraceae bacterium OTSz_A_272 Makes More Granules Regulator RNA (mmgR)". It matches the Rfam family "Makes More Granules Regulator RNA (mmgR)". From Rfam's summary of the family: SuhB later renamed mmgR (makes more granules regulator) was a putative non-coding RNA found multiple times in the Agrobacterium tumefaciens genome and related alpha-proteobacteria. Other non-coding RNAs uncovered in the same analysis include: speF, ybhL, metA, and serC. The record is from Rfam by way of RNAcentral. Lineage: Bacteria; Pseudomonadati; Pseudomonadota; Alphaproteobacteria; Hyphomonadales; Hyphomonadaceae.
CGCUCCCGCCCUAUCGGGCGUUUCCUCCCUAUUUUACCUUUCGCCGCCGGGCCUCACAGCCCGGCGGUUUUUUCUUUGGGCG